Molecule: long non-coding RNA, 375 nt
Organism: Rhineura floridana
Lineage: Eukaryota; Metazoa; Chordata; Lepidosauria; Squamata; Rhineuridae
Exons: 3
Source: RefSeq, a predicted model, not a curated record
CAACUAUCACACAUAAUAAGCCUCAUGUCUGAAAGCAGCCAGGGGAAGCUAGCUGGUGUAAAGUGAAAACAAAGAUAAAAAAGUCAGGUGUGAUCUGAAGGCUCAUUUCCUGAAGGAAGAACAACUUAUGAAAUCUGCUGAGGUUGUGGAUGGAAGUGUACUUUUUAAACCCAUGGUGGAAAUGGAGGCUGAAGAAAACGAGUGGCUGGAAGAUUUAAAUGAAGGCAUGGAGCAACGGUGUCUACAGGAAGAUGUGACGCAUGAAGGUGAUAUGGAAAAUCUACACCUUGAGAGUUCUCAGGCUGUUAAUAUUUCCUGCAUUUCAUGUGUCUGUCCCAAGCCUGAACCCUGAAAGCUUGAAGCAGGAGUUUUUUU